This 66-nucleotide ribosomal RNA is filed under the name Klebsiella pneumoniae. RNAcentral describes it as "partial 23S ribosomal RNA". The record is from RNAcentral. RNAcentral also lists the same sequence under 1 other name. Lineage: Bacteria; Pseudomonadati; Pseudomonadota; Gammaproteobacteria; Enterobacterales; Enterobacteriaceae.
AGCGCAACGAUGCGUUGAGCUAACCGGUACUAAUGAACCGUGAGGCUUAACCUUACAACGCCGAAG